UUUUCUUUUUAUUUCUUUUUACUCUGUUGUAGAAUCAGUUUGCAAUAUUUUGAGCUGCCAAUUGGUCUUUGUAACAAUGUGGAACUUGGCCCAUAAAUACUUUGCGAAUUAUGAAACUGCCACAAAAUGUUUCAAGGCAAUUGGAAGUGACUAGGUAUUUUUAGAAAUUAAGUAAGGAAAGAUAAAAGUUGCUGGACCACCAAAAUAGAAUCCAGGGGCAUUUUGAGAACUCAAAAGAGGUUGGUCCCAACAUGAAAAAUAUCCAAGGAUUAUUUGCCACACUUUGAACAUUUUAGUUUUCAUGCUUGACAAACUUGGAUUUUUGACUUUAAAUUUGAAUUUGAAUCCGGACAGUGAUUUGGAUCAAGUGGGGAUUAUCAACAGUAAUGUGAUGAUGUGGCACCAUUAAUAGGGGUUUACUGUAGCUUAAUUAUUCGGACGUCACAAUUCUCCUCUACUACAAGAAAUCUCGUCCCGUGAUUUAAGGCGUGUAAUAAGGGGGAAGCUAUAAGGAUGGACGUCUGAAAGGAUCGACAUCCGGUAGUUAUCUCAAGGAAAAAGAUUGUAGAAGCACCAGGAACGUAUCGAGAGUGCUAUAAGAAGGUAUAACAAGUUUCAACCAGGUAUGCAUCCAGCUGAUGCAUAAGACAGGUGAUGAAGGGGUUCAGAGCAAUGGGAAAAAGUAUUGCGUCUAAUACCAGAAUAGAUCGCGAGGAAGGUGGCUCGUGAUUUACAUACGAAGCCAAGUGCGAGGAAUAACUUAGAAAACUGGGAUGUAAAUGAGAGUCAGGUUUCGAUCCUGUGGAACUGUGGGUUAUGGGCCCACCAUGUGGGUUAAAAGCAAGAAGGCGUUACAUUUUGCACAGUCAUGAUAGCAAGGCAGCUCAGAGGACAACAUGUUAGUUAUGUUGGCAACAAUGUUGGUACCAAGGGCGAGGGACAAAGAGAACCAUUUUCCUGCUCGUUGAACGAGGCGGACCAAUAGGCAAAGUUCUCGUCCGUCGGUGGCUACCGGAAUGUCAUCAACAAUAGUAACAAGGUCUUACUGACAGAGUUUGUACACCAAGGUGUUAACAUAAGCAGCAAGUUAUCACUGCUCAGAUAUAUUAGUUUAUAAGAAAGGUUAAACAAAACAAUGGAAGGGAAAAGUGUAGACUCGAAUUAGUUAUCGGUGUUCUCAAGUGUCUAACAACUUAGAACCCAUGGAAAAUUGGAAUCGGCAAGAAAUAAUGGUUGAUGAAGAACUCAUAAGAGGUUAUGUAUUUCCGUGAUAAUCUCGAGAUACCAGAGGGUAAUACUCGAGGGUAUAGCAGAAUAGAGGUUGGACGGGUGAAAUGAUCUACAGAAGACAAGUACUUCCACUUGUCCGAGAAAUGAAAUCAACUAAGAACAAUCAUGGUUGGAAGCACGGUUGCAAAGGACCAAACAUAGAUAAAAGAUGAACUUAUCACAAGGGGAUUAUUAUUAAUACAAGAAGCUUCCAUGAUAAGUUCCACAUCGUGUCCAUGGGCAUGAACACAAAGUUCAAGGUCGACUCCCACUUCUCUAAUGCACAACUUUUCAUUUACUUCUCGUCUUUGACAAAGUUGUAGAAUUGACAAUUUAUCCAAAGAAACGCCAGUAGAUAUAACCUGCAUAAUGUUCAGGUUCACACAGUUUAGGGAAGCCAUAGAUUCAACCCAUAGGGGCAUCUUAGGAACAUAUACCACAAACUUCACGAGUAGAUAAAAGCCCGGAAGCAGAGUAUGGUUGAUGAGAGCGGGGGAUACAAUUUGCCAAAGGCAUUGUGUAUCCGAGGAAAGGCUCACAAAGUUACUGAAUAUGAAGGACGUUGUCGGAUAAAAUCCACAAAGGAUCUGGUAGUCCACAAGGGAUCUGAUGUGAGCAACGGCACUCAACCAGAAGAAGAAAGAAUGCAAGGAGGUCAGAUUAUAGAAGCAACUGACUAAUUCAGAGUUCAAAAUGCAAAGGAAUUAUGAUUCCCAAGUCAAGGGAUCAGAAGCAAACGCUUUGAUCAAGAAUGGAUAAGUUGAAUAGACUUAGGGCACAACCAAUGGCAAUCUGACUGGCCGAGAACCAACUCAUGUUCAAGAAGACCUUUGAGCCGGAAUGAUAAUUUAUAAGGACCAACUGAUGAUUGUGACUACUCACAAACAUAUCAAAUUGAAAGACUCAAAAUGACAAUGAGAAAGGACGUCAAUGGAUACAGCUAGGCAUACGGAAAUAGCCAGAGUGCAAGCAUGUAAGACCUUCUAGAGUAAUUGGCGACAGAGGUCCUCAAAAGCUCGGAUUGUAUUACAAAGUAUGUUAUGAAGCAUAAGUUUAACUGGAGAUGAAUGGAUACUCGAUAAGAGCGAGUAAUUAUCCAUAGGGGUAUUCAUGCGGCAAGGAACUGCAGGGCAGUAAGCAUAAAGAAUUGUUGGAACAUCAAAGAGUAUUUCAGGACAUCUUGAAAUAACAAGAGCAACUGGGGAUGAAGGUAUGAACGGCAACAUAGGUAGUUACGCAUAAGGAUUUAUCAGUGGUAGGGAUCGCAAUGGCGAAGGGUACGAGGGACUCGGUAAAACAUCGGAGAGUAUCUUCAAAAUCUUCUGGUGAAGCGGGCCAUCAUUUGGAAUGAAGGGGCUCUCCGGGAGAAGUAUUUACGAGAACCUAGAGUUAUAGUUUGCAAAACCAUUUAGCCCGAAUAGAAGAGAGAUCAGAGUCCCAGAGUAUAGACGAGGAAUAAAAGAUCCUAAUACCACCCAAUGGCGACGUGGACCCGUAAGCCACACAGCCAUGUUAGUAAAACAAUUUUUCAAACACUAGACUCAACUUUGGCCAAGGAGUUGGAAAGGGGGGGUCCUACAGGCAGUCGGCUCUGAUACCAACUUGUGACGCCCCCCGAUUCAAUUGUACACUAAUCAUACACGCAAAUGUGUACGAUCAAGAUCAGGGACUCACGGGAAGAUAUCACAACACAACUCUAGACACAAAUAAAAUAAUACAAGCUUUAUAUUACAAGCCAGGGGCUUCGAGGGCUCGAAUACAUAGCUCGAUACACAGGAGUUAGCGGAAUCAACAAUAUCUGAGUACAGACAUAAGUUAAACAAGGAUGCCUUAAGAAGGCUAGCACAAAAGCAACAUGAUCGAAGAGGCAAGGCCUCCUGCCUGGGACCUCCUAACUACUCCUGGUCUUCGGUAGCCUCCAUGUAGUAGUAUCCAUCGACGGUGGCAUCUAGCUCCAAGGAUCCACCAUCUGGUUGCAUCAACCAGAAAGAAGAAAGAAGGGGGAAAAGGGGUAGCAAAGCAACCGUGAGUACUCAUCCAAAGUACUCGCAAGCAUCAGAUCUAUACUAAGUAUGCACUGGUAUCAAAUGGAAGGUUUGUAUCUGUGGACUGAACUGCAGAAUGCCAGAAUAGAGGGGGAGGGCCUAGCCUAUCGAAGACUAGCAUCUUCACGCAGCUCCGAGCAUCUUGCAGCAUGUAGAAGAGUAAAGAAUAGCAGUUUAUAUUUAACAAACAUGUUGUAGCAACAAUGCCCAGAGAUCCUUCCUCGACUCCCUGCGAGAAAGCAAUCCGGAGCCACAUAUCUUAAGUAUCCAUUUCUAGUUGUAUCAGAUCAAGAUAUAAGUCUGAACGUCCAUUACCGUGGACAUGGUAUUCGAAUAAAGAUCUUCCCUGCAGGGGUGCACCACGUUUUCCAACACGCUCGAUCACUCUGGCCGGACACACCUUUCUGGGGUCAAUGCCCGGCCUCGGAAGAUCAACACGUCGCAGCCCGACCUAGGCUCAGCAGAGAGGUCCCCGCCGGUCUACAUCCUAAGCACUCCGGGGUCUGGGCCCAUCGCCCGUUGCACUCCGGAUCGUUGUGUGCAGGGUGGAUACCAGCACCACCCAUGUAGUGGAUGGCACGAUCCGACCGUGCCACAAUGCUAAACUGGACAUCUGACAAAGCUUCGGCUGAUACCACGACGUCGAGGCCCAUAACUAUUCUCACGUGGUGGUUGGUGCGUAAAGGCCAAAGGCCAAUUCAGAACAAAUACCCAAACCAUAGUGUAUUAUUAGCUCGCGGAGACGAGCAGAGACUCACGAUAAUGUGACCCCAUCGCCCCGUCUCAAGGAAAUACGGCAAGGGCAAGCCCAGCCCACUCGAGGGCUGCCAGACUUCCCUGCCGUGCCUCAUAACCAUCUUGCGGGUGCUCUCCGGGCCCGCCCGACUUUCCCAAAGGUGUCAAGUAAAGUCAAAGUAACCGUGUGUCCAGACAUCAAGGGGAAAACCCGAGGAAUCACCCCCGGAGGAUUCCACUCAAUGUAAUCAUCGAGGUGAAUGUAAGAGGGACCACCCUCGAGGUUCACACUUGAGGUGUUGAACGACAGAGCCAUAUCAGGAAUGGUGAAAGAGGAAAUCACCCUCGAUGACCACAACCGAAUAGCUACACUACAGAAUUAUCAUCAGGAGUGUUUUAUGAGGGAUCACCCUCGGCACUCGAUAGUAGCUCUGCAGAGUCGAGCAACAAAAGGGGCUUGAUGUGAUGUGAGGUGUCGGGCUCUGGUCGUCGAUCGCGUCGAUCGAGGCGUCGAUGAUGAAGCAGGGGCGACAAGGACAAGUGGGGGUCACUGAUGGAUCACUAACCAACCUAUAUUAAGCAGUUUAGGAUAAGGAGGUAGGUAACAAUAAGCAGGUACAAAAGCAGGCUAUGCAUCAGAAUAGGAGCAAUCAAAUACAGUAGCAAAAUCUAAUGCAAGCAUGAGAGUAUAGAAUGGGCGAUAUCGGGAUGAUCAAAGUGGGGGCUUGCCUGGUUGCUCAGACAAGAAGGAGGGUCGUCGGUGAUGUAGUCGAUCACAGGGGCAUCAGCAUCGGUCUCGGGGUCUACCGGAGAGAAGAGGGGGAAGAAACAGUAAAUACACACAAACAUAUGCAUAACAAGACAGUAAGCGGGGCAGAGGUGAUCUAACGUAGCGUUAGGCGAUACUGGCGAAGAGGGAAAACAUCCGGGAAAGUUUUCCCGGUUCCGGACGUCUGUUAGACAUAUGAACCGGAGGGGAAAAGUUCAACGUUUGCUAUGCUAGGGAGGUGUGGCGGAUGAACGGAGCGCGUAUCCGGGUUCGUCUUGAAAUUCUGAGCAACUUUCAUGUAGAAAACUUUUUCAUCCGAGCUACGGAUUAUUUUCUAUGCUUUUCAAAGGUUUAUUAAUAUUCUGAAAUUAAUUUUUAAUACAAAAAUAAAUGCUAAAAAGCUAGGCGCACCCAGCACAGUGUACACAAAAGUGUACCCAGUGGCUGACAGGUGGGCCAGGGGGUCCCAGUUGACCAGUCAACGUUUGACUGGUCAACAGGGGAUGGGGCCCCCUGUCAUAGGCUAUGUCUAGUUAAUUAAUUCUCAGUUUUAACUAAUCCAGUGAUUAGGCUAAUUAAUCCCUAGUUAAUUAAGUUGAUUAGCUUUUUAAUUAAUUAUUUAACUAAUUAAUUAUUUGUUUUUUUACUUUUUUUUGUAAGAAAAAGGGGCUGGUGGGGCCCUACUGGCAGUGGCCCAUCUGGCCACUUGAGCGGGCGGUUAACGGAGCGGGCGCGGGCGCUGGGGCGCCAGCCCGCUUGGGCACGCGCCCAGGGGAGAGCGCCAGGCCGCGGGGCGCCGGCAGGGUUGCCGUGGCUGCAGGGCACCGGCNNNNNNNNNNNNNNNNNNNNNNNNNNNNNNNNNNNNNNNNNNNNNNNNNNNNNNNNNNNNNNNNNNNNNNNNNNNNNNNNNNNNNNNNNNNNNNNNNNNNNNNNNNNNNNNNNNNNNNNNNNNNNNNNNNNNNNNNNNNNNNNNNNNNNNNNNNNNNNNNNNNNNNNNNNNNNNNNNNNNNNNNNNNNNNNNNNNNNNNNNNNNNNNNNNNNNNNNNNNNNNNNNNNNNNNNNNNNNNNNNNNNNNNNNNNNNNNNNNNNNNNNNNNNNNNNNNNNNNNNNNNNNNNNNNNNNNNNNNNNNNNNNNNNNNNNNNNNNNNNNNNNNNNNNNNNNNNNNNNNNNNNNAGCGGGGUGUAGCCCGGGCGUGAGGACGGCGGGAACCGGGCACGGCUACGGUGAGCAACGGUGCAGAGGUGCACGGAUCGAGACCGGGAAAAGCAGGAAUCGGACGAGAGGUUCCCCACGAGCUUGAUGGUGAGGUCGAGGGGGCCGGGGACGGCUAGGAGGCGACGAAUCAGAGCGGCGAAGAUAACCUACGGCCAUGGCGGCUAGCGGGGCUACGGGGACGAAGGGAGUAGGGGAGAGGAGGAGGACGUGCAGUGCUCACCGGGGAGGCGCACGAUGGCCCGGUGGGGGGCUUAGUAGCUGCAGUGGGUGCCGGCGUUGAAGAAGGCGAUGGCGAGCCGAGGAAGAAGACGAUCCGGGGCGGAGGCGAAUCAACAGUGGCGGCCGUCGGUGCAGAAGUUCAAGGACGAGCUCGAUGGCGGCGAUUCGGUGCGGCUCCGCUCGAUUUGAUGCUCGGGAUGGACGAAGUUGACGGUGGUUGUCCUCCUCGUCGCCGUCUCAGGGCUUGGGGAGGCCGGUGGCCGCGUCUGUGGAGGCGGCAUGGCGACGGUGUCGCUCGGGCGGGGCGAGGAGAGGAGGUCGCAGCACGGGGGAGAGGAAGGAGAGGCGGCUAGGGUUCAGCGAGGGAGGGAAGAGGGCGAGGGCGUCCUCUUAACCACAUGGAGGGAGCAGGGAUGGCUGCCACGGGACCAGGGGCGCCAUGGGAUGGCCGCCACGAUCCCCCCGCCUCCUGUAGCGAGGUUGGGGAUGAGGUGGAGGUGGGCUGGGCGAAUGUUGAUAGACGGGCCAAAGUGCAUAAGGGCACUAGAGCCCAUUAACCCAUAGUAGUUAGGCCUUUUCUUUUUAUUUAUUUUUACUCUGUUGUAGAAUCAGUUUGCAAUAUUUUGAGCUGCCAAUUGGUCUUUGUAACAAUGUGGAACUUGGCCCAUAAAUACUUUGCGAAUUAUGAAACUGCCACAAAAUGUUUCAAGGCAAUUGGAAUUGACUAGGUAUUUUUUGAAAUUAAAUAAGGAAAGAUAAAAGUUGCUGGACCACCAAAAUAGAAUCCAGGGGCAUUUUGGGAACUCAAAAGAGGUUGGUCCCAACAUGAAAAAUAUCCAAGGAUUAUUUGCC
Molecule: long non-coding RNA, 7105 nt
Filed under: Triticum aestivum (bread wheat)
Lineage: Eukaryota; Viridiplantae; Streptophyta; Magnoliopsida; Poales; Poaceae
Description: long non-coding RNA (TAES_LNC022242)
Source: RNAcentral